UUCCGGUUGAUCCUGCCGGAGGUCACUGCUAUUGGGAUUCGACUAAGCCAUGCGAGUCGAGAGGGUUCGGCCCUCGGCUGACGGCUCAGUAACACGUGGAUAAUCUGCCCUAUGGUGGAGGAUAACCUCGGGAAACUGAGAAUAAUACUCCAUAGGUCUAGGAUGCUGGAAUGCACCUAGGCUCAAAACUCCGGUGCCAUAGGAUGAGUCUGCGGACUAUCAGGUUGUAGUCAGGGUAAAGACCUGACUAGCCUACGACGGAUAUGGGUUGUGAGAGCAAUAACCCAGAGAUGAUAUCUGAGACACGAUAUCAGGCCCUACGGGGCGCAGCAGGCGCGAAAACUUCACAAUGUGCGAAAGCGCGAUGAGGGAAUCCCAAGUGCUUGCACGUAAGUGUAAGCUGUUUUUAUGUUUAAAACGCAUGGAGAGUAAGAGCUGGGUAAGACGGGUGCCAGCCGCCGCGGUAAUACCUGCAGCUCAAGUGGUGGCCACUAUUAUUGGGCCUAAAACGUCCGUAGCCUGUUUAAUAAAUGCCUGGGUAAAUCGUGUAGCUUAACUAUACGAAUUCCGGGUAGACUGUUAAACUUGAGACCGGGAGAAGUUAGAGGUACUCCUGGGGUAGAGGUGAAAUUCUGUAAUCCUAGGGGGACCACCAGUGGCGAAGGCGUCUGACUAGAACGGGUCUGACGGUGAGGGACGAAGCCCUGGGGCGCAAACCGGAUUAGAUACCCGGGUAGUCCAGGGUGUAAACGCUGCUUGCUUGAUGUUAGUCGGGCUCCGAGCCCGAUUAGUGUCGGAGAGAAGUUGUUAAGCAAGCUGCCUGGGAAGUACGGUCGCAAGGCUGAAACUUAAAGGAAUUGGCGGGGGAGCACAGCAACGGGUGGAGCGUGCGGUUUAAUUGGAUUCAACGCCGGG
RNAcentral lists this ribosomal RNA (915 nucleotides) under uncultured archaeon. RNAcentral describes it as "bacterial SSU rRNA". It matches the Rfam family "Archaeal small subunit ribosomal RNA", at positions 1 to 922 of the family's 1478-position model. The record is from RNAcentral.